AUCAAGUUGAGUCGGGUGAACCGGCAGGUCGUUCAGUUUGUUGGGUCCUAGCCGAUAGAAUGGUUGGGUAAGUAGUUUGUGCAUGCAUGUAGUUGGAGUGGUCAGAGGUGGUGUCCGAGCCAUAUGGAUCAUGGAGAGACUUUAGGAAUUACUUAGUGCAUGGGUUAGUGGUUAGCAGCCGAGAGCGGCGGCUGGCCCGUGCAUGCGUGGGUUAGUGGCGGGUGUGGCCGUGGCUGUGUGUGUGCGUGAGUCUCUAUAUAAGAGAUGUAAAGCUUGUUGUUUGAGCCGAGGCCGAGAGGGCUGAAGUAAACAUGUAGCCACGGUGUGCCACCAAGAAAGUGCUUUUGGCAAAGUCAUUGUAUUUCUCUUGGUGCAUGUGUGCGUGUGUGUUCUCAUGUGUUCUUGAGAGAAACAAAGAUAGAUGGAGGUUGAGUUGUGAGAGGCAGCUCAAGGUAGGAGAAGAAGCAGCGCUGCGAGGUGAGGCGGCGGCAACAAUUGGCAUCAGAGCCCCGGUAGAUCCGAGGCGGCGACGGCGGCGCGGCCGACUCCAUGUGAGGUGGAGGACGGUGGCGCAAGGUGGAGGCCGUUGGCGGCGCGAUGCCGCUGGUGGCCGAUUGCGGUGCGAUGCCGCAAUAUGAUGAUGGUGUGAUGGUCGGCCUCGCGAGGACGUCAUCCACGACAAGACGGUCCAUGGUGACCGGCGCUGCGACGGCGUCGGCUGUGGCGCGAUGGAGGCCGACAGCGCAAGAAGAAGGAGGGUGGCCAUGCGGUGCCGCUAUGUGAAGAUGGUGGUGCGGAGCUGCCACAAGAAGAGUCGGUGUGAUUCCGACGACGGUGGUGUCAUGCCAUCGUCAUCAUGGAAAGUUGGUGUUAAGCCAGCAAAAAAAAGUUGUGGUGCAAUGCCGCUUGACGAAGACGGCAUCGUGAUCGGCGUUGCGACAACGUCCUCCACGUCAAGAGGUGGCCGCCGCAUGCGGCAAGAGGACAUGGUGAUGGACGCCGGCGCUGCGAUGGCGUCGGUCCACGACAAAUUGUGCAGCGCCACGAUGGCGUCGUCAAGUGGCAGCGGGUGAAGCCGCGUGAAGAUUGAAGAAUCAAGAUUAGGAGGGAAAAUGUUAGGUUUAAUCUUGAUUCAUGUAUCUGCAUGUAGUUUAGAUGGUAGUAGGGUGAUGUAGGCCGGUGAAGCUUUGGUUGUGCACGAAGAAGGCGAGAUGCCGGGCGGCCAUGUGAUGGGGCGAGCAUGACAAGAUGCUCAUGAUGCUGUGAGGUACGACAAGGUCACGAGAAGCGGCAAGACGUGACGAAGACUGGAGCGUGAUGGACCGCAUCAAGUUGAGUCGGGUGAACCGGCAGGUCGUUCAGUUUGUUGGGUCCUAGCCGAUAGAAUGGUUGGGUAAGUAGUUUGUGCAUGCAUGUAGUUGGAGUGGUCAGAGGUGGUGUCCGAGCCAUAUGGAUCAUGGAGAGACUUUAGGAAUUAGUUAGUGCACGGGUUAGUGGGUUAGCAGCCGAGAGUGGCGGCUGGCCCGUGCAUGCGUGGGUUAGUGGCCGGUGUGGCCGUGGCUGUGUGUGCGCGUGAGUCUCUAUAUAAGAGAUGUAAAGCUUGUUGUUUGAG
This 1612-nucleotide long non-coding RNA is filed under the name Triticum aestivum (bread wheat). Its description in RNAcentral is "long non-coding RNA (TAES_LNC017128)". Lineage: Eukaryota; Viridiplantae; Streptophyta; Magnoliopsida; Poales; Poaceae. The record is from RNAcentral.